RNAcentral lists this ribosomal RNA (985 nucleotides) under Palythoa caribaeorum. Its description in RNAcentral is "bacterial LSU rRNA". It matches the Rfam family "Bacterial large subunit ribosomal RNA", at positions 1937 to 2917 of the family's 2925-position model. Lineage: Eukaryota; Metazoa; Cnidaria; Anthozoa; Zoantharia; Sphenopidae. The record is from RNAcentral.
UAACAAUAACGGUCCUAAGGUAGCGAAAUUCCUUGUCGGGUAAGUUCCGACCUGCACGAAUGGCGUAACGAUGGCCACGCUGUCUCCACCCAAGACUCAGUGAAAUUGAAAUCGCUGUUAAGAUGCAGCGUAUCCGCGGCUAGACGGAAAGACCCCGUGAACCUUUACUGCAGCUUCACAGUGGAUCUUGAUGUUGCUUGUGUAGGAUAGGUGGGAGGCUUGGAAGCGAGGACGCCAGUCCGCGUGGAGCCGACCUUGAAAUACCACCCUGGCAAUAUUGAGGUUCUAACCCAGGUUCCUUACCGGGAUCGGGGACAUUGUGUGGUGGGCAGUUUGACUGGGGCGGUCUCCUCCCAAAGAGUAACGGAGGAGCACGAAGGUUGGCUAAGCACGGUCGGACAUCGUGCGGUUAGUGUAAAGGCACAAGCCAGCUUGACUGCGAGAGGAACGUCUCGAGCAGGUACGAAAGUAGGUCUUAGUGAUCCGGUGGUUCUGGAUGGAAGGGCCAUCGCUCAACGGAUAAAAGGUACUCCGGGGAUAACAGGCUGAUACCGCCCAAGAGUUCACAUCGACGGCGGUGUUUGGCACCUCGAUGUCGGCUCAUCACAUCCUGGGGCUGAAGCCGGUCCCAAGGGUAUGGCUGUUCGCCAUUUAAAGUGGUACGCGAGCUGGGUUUAGAACGUCGUGAGACAGUUCGGUCCCUAUCUGCCGUGGACGUUGGAAGUUUGAGGAGAGCUGCUCCUAGUACGAGAGGACCGGAGUGGACGAACCGCUGGUGUUCGGGUUGUGUCGCCAGACGCAUUGCCCGGUAGCUAAGUUCGGACGGGAUAACCGCUGAAGGCAUCUAAGCGGGAAGCCCCCUUCAAGAUGAGACUUCCCUGGAACGCAAGUUCCCAUAAGAGACGUUGAAGACUACGACGUUGAUAGGCGGGGUGUGUAAGCGUUGUGAGGCGUUGAGCUAACCCGUACUAAUGACUCGAGAGGC